Molecule: small RNA, 4410 nt
Filed under: Pan troglodytes (chimpanzee)
Lineage: Eukaryota; Metazoa; Chordata; Mammalia; Primates; Hominidae
Description: retained intron
Source: RNAcentral
GGAGGAUUCCAGAAGGAAAUUGCUUCAGCUGCAAGAAAUGGGGAACAGAGAGAGCCUCAUUAAAAUCAAUUUGGAGAGGGCAGUAGGUCAGGUAGGCGUGUUCCAGAGCCCCCCUCAUUGGCCCACGCUCUCCAAUGAUUGCACCCAAGCAGCCAGUGGGGGUGAGAGAGGAGGACGCCCAAGGUAGAAAGACAGACGUGCGUUAAUUCUCCCAUUUAUCUCAUGAGCAGAGGCUGUCUGCAGCUCCCCACCCCCAUGGACAUCGCUAAACAGGUUUCUGCUGCUGGGAGGCCUCCCACUCGAAUAGUUUAUGAUGACCCGAGACCCGGACCAGGCAGCCAAUCCCGGCUCGAUGCCUGCCCCCAGUUAACCGAGCUCCUUGCCCCCAGUGGUGUUUCUAGCAUUUUCUCCCUAAUGUUUUCAGUCCUGACAUUUACCACAAUCUUUCUUCCCCUUGGGCCCCAGCAGACAUUACAGACAGUGUCUAUAAGGAAAUGCCACUUUUCUUAAUAAGGUAAAACCCUGGAGUGUCCAAAGUGCAUGCUGGAUGGAGAAGCUCCCGGCUGUGGGUGAGCCACUCCGACCUGGUCUGGAGGUGCUGUUUCUUUGAUGCUGUGGCCUGAAAUCGCCGGUGGCCCUUCCUGGCAAAUGUGACACAGUCGUGGGGGCCGGAAUGUGCAGACGAAAGUUUACCAAAAGCUAAGGGAAAGCAAACAGGAAACCAAGAUGGGAGGGCAUAUGACCCUCAGGAAUGUGGUCCCCCAGGGGCAGCCCACCCUAGAUUCCUCCACAGGGGUCCCUCUCCUGGAAACCAUGACUCCAGGGGAUCCACAGAAUGGUUUGCGCGCACACAUGUGUGUGUGUGUGUGUGUGUGUGUAUUACUGGGAAGGAGGGCCCCCCAUGUCUCCCACUGGGUUCUCAGGAGGGUCUGUGAACUACCAAGAAAGGCUAAAAGCCAGGAUCUCUCAAACCACCCAGCUCAGCUCCCAAAGCCCUUCCAUUUUCUACCAUCCAAGCCUUACCGGGCAGUGUGACCAGGCCUUUGUCCCUGUACCCUAAAAUUCAAAUAUUCACCACUGUAACCGCCAGCACCAUUUCUCCUGUGGGGGCGCCAGCCCCUUAUCAAGGGCAGAGAACCUGCCCGUCUGGGCCUCUCCCUGUGCACAUUGGCUACCCCCAAUCUUCCCCCUAACACAUACCUGAUUUGAGGGUCUGACCCAUGCUCCUUGCCCAAGGGCCAAGGUUCUUGUUAUAGCUCUGGGCAGAGGUCAUCCGGGAGGAGCCCUGGAGGUCCUGAGACUGCUCCAGGUCUAGACUUGAGAGAAAGGACAAGCCCUCUCUCUGCCUCCCAGUGCCUUCCCUCUCCUGUAUCUCCAAGGCCCUGCUCCCUGUCCAAUAGUCUGCCCUUCCCCAGCCAAGUGACCCCAGGCCCGAGGCCAUGUCUAAGAUGACCUCUCCCUCCCAAUGGCCCUGGGCAGCCAUUCCUGUGGGGAGCCCCUGAUGGCAAUGGGGGACCAUCAUUCACAGGGCUUCCUCUACACAGUCAAUUCUUUGGGUGAGCUGGGACCCUCCGCUUGGCCAUGAAACCAGAGGAUGGCUUUGAGAACCUCAUGUCACCUGGUCUUCUCCUGGCAGGGUCUCUGCAGAGAUGUCCGUUAAGACGUUUCCCAUUAGAACUCCCCUGUGCAGUAAAUACCUGUGUCUUGGGCCCCAGGUUGAGGCAGUAGCCCUUUUGGUCCCUUCAAGGCUCUGCUUUGGAGCCUUUAAUAACCACGUUUUGCCAGUGAACCGGAGACUCACGCCAGGGGCUGCCAUGUUGGUAAAUUCUCAGAGAAAGUCGGGCUCCUUUUUACCUCUAACUACUAAUGGAAUCAGGACACCUUGGACUUGUCAUUCUGUAAGUCCGGACUUAAUGUAACUGCUAUUUCAUCAGCCUUAACCUGAAAACACUAGCACCCAGGAGGGGCUCAGUGAAAGCUGCUAGAAGUAGAGGCCCUUGGCUUAAGGUGAUGUUUCUGUGUACAGGCAUCCAGCAAAGGUUAGUUGGGUGUCUGAGUGUCUCCUCUACACCAGGCACUGUAGUAGGCUCCAGGGAUACUGAGAUGAACAGAGUGGGCAUAGUCUUCAGGACUCUUAUGGGCUCAGGCAUGAAAUGGAGAAAGGGAGAACACCCUCCUCUCCCCGGGCUUCCUUGCUGACUACACAAUUUACUUGGACUGACAGCCUCAAUAUUUAUUUCACAGUCUGGUGCCAACUUAGCAAUUACGGAAGAGCGCUCCCGGCCCCAGACUUCCCAUUGGAUAAUUGGCAGCAAGAGGCUCUUCUGAGGGUUUGAGACAUGUGUGUGCACUGACCACAGGCAUCGUUCGGGUUAGGCAGGCGUGCCUAAAAAGUAAUUAAAGCCUGCUGUUCUCUUUUCUUCUGUGGGUCCCGCCACUCCCCGUGAGCGGUGAAGAUUCUGAUAACGCGGAAUGGUCAUUCAGGCGUGCAAACCCUGCUAAGUGGUGUUUCCCGCACCCUGCCAUGGAAACGCUGCCCCCGCUUGCCGGCCCCUGCUGACCCCCUGACACUGUUGCCCCCUCUCUGCUGCAGCUGGAGCACUUCAGAAGUCAAGUCAUCAAGGCCACCUAUGGACGGGUGAAGCCGUUCCGGGACAAGCCCGUCACCGACCAACAGUUAAUAGAGAAAAUUACCCAGGUCACUGAGGACAACAUCAAUUUUCAGCAGAAAAAGUGGACCCUCCAGAAAGAGACCCAGCUGAGCAACUCCAAGCAGGAGGAGACCACCGAGAACAUCGAGAAGCUGAGGACGUCGCUGGACAGCUGCCAGGUGGCCCCUCCUUACGCUUUCCACAAAUGGUCUCUUUGUCUAAUUUUUGUGCGGCUUAUUUGGGAAAUUGCCCAGCUUUUUUGGAGCAAGUUGGGCAGAAAUGCUUGGCUUUUCUAUCCACUUUUUCCUCUUGUUGGAGAAACUUGUUGGAGAAGAAAAAACAAAGGGCCUCAAAAAAUGCCUCCCGGGAGAACUUGGCGUGUCCAGAAAAGAUGCCUGAGCAUCUUCAAUUACUGACUUUGAGCGGCCCGCAUCCCCAGCCAAAAAGAAAUUGUUUUCAUAGCCCCUAUGUUAUUUCCAGAGAAACCAAAGAAACAUUCCUGCUUUUUAUUUGCAUUUUCUUUUUUUGGCCCAGCCACAAAAGGCGGUUUCCACACCGUUGCCUUUGACUCUGGAGGAGCAGGGACGGGAGGACUUGGCCACAGCCCUGCGGCCCCCACCCUGGGACAUGGCUUAUCAGAGCAGGCGGUGGCUUCUGCUUUCUCUGGAAAUCAGCAGCUCCUGUUUGGGGAGUUUGUGCAAAUGCUGGCUUGUCAGCACUCUUUCAAAUCAGGAAACCACGCUUUCCGACCAGCUUGUGUGUUGAUCUUGGCAGGAAUUCUGACGAAUGGAAAAAAGAAGUAGCCACAUUUGCUUCUCAUUGCAGCCAAACUGUCGAUGGUACUUUGGCUCUGGGGUUUCAUAGACCUAAAAGGGGGUUCGCUUUGACCAUCAAAAGUCCAAAUUAGAGUAUUAAAAAAAAACCUGUCAAAACAUAAAAAUUUUUAAAAAGAAAAAAACUGAGUCCUCCCAAGGCGGCCAAUACGUGGCGCUGCCUGCUUCGUGGCAGAGUCGAGAACGCUGUUCCUCGAAGGUCACGUCAGGGGCUAUUUCUGGCCACAGGGCCUGGGCUCCUCAUGAUCUCACCUCUUUGCAGGCUUGCAUGAAAAUAUCCUGUUGCAGCCAUGACCUGAAGAAGGAGGUCGACCUUCUUCAGCACCUCCAGGUGAGCCCACCUGUCUCGGGGCUCCAGAAGGUGGUGCUGGAUGUCCUGAGGCACGCGCUGUCCUGGCUGGAGGAGGUGGAGCAGCUCCUCCGGGACCUCGGGAUCCUGCCCUCCAGCCCCAACAAAGGUUACUGGGACUUUUUUUCUCACAUGGUUGCAUGACUCUAAAAUGUCGCGUUGAAUCUCAGCAUGAUGGGACAUCUGUUGAGGAAGUCUUCCUGGGUAUCUGGCCAAGUCUAUUCCCUUCUCUAGAACCCCCUGCUUCUCUGCUUGAGGCGUAAUUUUCCAUUAAAAAAAAAAAACACACACAUACAAGUGAGACACGAUAACUGAAGAAAAAUGAAACAAAACAGAGGCAAAAGGAAAAUUAAAUCGAGAUUAUGCAAAGUCUAAUUACGCUGUUUAACUUCCAAGGCAUUUUCCCAUGGAAAUAACCGCGUGAUUCCAGGCAAGUCACUUACCCUGUCUAUGCCUCAGUUUCCCUAUCUGUAAAAUGAGGCUAAUAGGGAGUACCCACCCUUUAGGGCUGUUGUGAUCAUUAAAAUGCAUGAAUAUAUGGAAAGUACUUGGAAUAGUACCUGGCACACAAUAGGAA